Molecule: long non-coding RNA, 529 nt
Organism: Bradysia coprophila
Lineage: Eukaryota; Metazoa; Arthropoda; Insecta; Diptera; Sciaridae
Source: RefSeq, a predicted model, not a curated record
CGGAAAUUUGUCACCAGUCAGUCAUCAGUCAUCAGUUCGUUUCAGUUUCAAUUCGAUCUUUCAGCACAGAAACUAGAAACAUCGGGAAUAGGAUUGACCCGAUGAGUUCAACAAAUAAUUCAACAGAAUUCCUCGGUCUCAAAAGCAAUCUUUCGCUUGGAGCCGAUGGCUUAUCGUCUGGGGUUGGCGGAGCAUUAUUCGAGUCAAAGAAAGAAAAUGAUUGUGGGGACAAGAGCAAUACUUCUCUUUUGAAAGUUGGCGCCAAAGCUGAUUUGAAUAACAAAGGUGUUGACGUUGGCGUUGAGGGCAAAGUUAUUCGUAAAGAAGUGGAAACGGAAAACGUAACAAUUGGCACAGGCCUUAAUUUGGAUACGGGAAUGAAGCUAGGUAGAGAUGGUGUAAAUAUGGAAUUUUUAGGAUUCGGUUUCUCGGCUGGUAAAGACGGAACUGGAUUCAAGCUGCCCUUUUUUGAUAUGAAAGUGAAAAAAUAAAUGAUUCCACUUAAGGACAAGACCUCAAAAGUUUGUAA